This 450-nucleotide ribosomal RNA is filed under the name uncultured bacterium. RNAcentral's name for it is "bacterial SSU rRNA". It matches the Rfam family "Bacterial small subunit ribosomal RNA", at positions 354 to 796 of the family's 1533-position model. The record is from RNAcentral.
GUGGGGAAUAUUGCACAAUGGGCGCAAGCCUGAUGCAGCCAUGCCGCGUGUGUGAAGAAGGCCUUCGGGUUGUAAAGCACUUUCAGUGGUGAGGAAGGCUAUAUGUUUAAUAGACAUGUAGAUUGACGUUAGCCACAGAAGAAGCACCGGCUAACUCCGUGCCAGCAGCCGCGGUAAUACGGAGGGUGCGAGCGUUAAUCGGAAUUACUGGGCGUAAAGCGUACGUAGGCGGCUUAUUAAGCAAGAUGUGAAAGCCCCGGGCUCAACCUGGGAAUUGCAUUUUGAACUGGUAGGCUCGAGUUUUGAAGAGGGUGGUAGAAUUUCCAGUGUAGCGGUGAAAUGCGUAGAUAUUGGAAGGAAUACCAGUGGCGAAGGCGGCCACCUGGUCAAAAACUGACGCUGAGGUACGAAAGCGUGGGGAGCAAACAGGAUUAGAAACCCUAGUAGUCC